Molecule: ribosomal RNA, 518 nt
Filed under: Bifidobacterium adolescentis
Lineage: Bacteria; Bacillati; Actinomycetota; Actinomycetes; Bifidobacteriales; Bifidobacteriaceae
Description: bacterial SSU rRNA
Rfam family: Bacterial small subunit ribosomal RNA
Source: RNAcentral
GGUAAUGCCGGAUGCUCCAGUUGGAUGCAUGUUCUUCUGGGAAAGAUUCAUCGGUAUGGGAUGGGGUCGCGUCCUAUCAGCUUGAUGGCGGGGUAACGGCCCACCAUGGCUUCGACGGGUAGCCGGCCUGAGAGGGCGACCGGCCACAUUGGGACUGAGAUACGGCCCAGACUCCUACGGGAGGCAGCAGUGGGGAAUAUUGCACAAUGGGCGCAAGCCUGAUGCAGCGACGCCGCGUGCGGGAUGACGGCCUUCGGGUUGUAAACCGCUUUUGACUGGGAGCAAGCCCUUCGGGGUGAGUGUACCUUUCGAAUAAGCACCGGCUAACUACGUGCCAGCAGCCGCGGUAAUACGUAGGGUGCAAGCGUUAUCCGGAAUUAUUGGGCGUAAAGGGCUCGUAGGCGGUUCGUCGCGUCCGGUGUGAAAGUCCAUCGCUUAACGGUGGAUCCGCGCCGGGUACGGGCGGGCUUGAGUGCGGUAGGGGAGACUGGAAUUCCCGGUGUAACGGUGGAAUGUGU